GUGGGGAAUAUUGGGCAAUGGGCGAAAGCCUGACCCAGCAACGCCGCGUGAGUGAUGAAGGCCUUAGGGUUGUAAAGCUCUUUUACCAGGGAUGAUAAUGACAGUACCUGGAGAAUAAGCUCCGGCUAACUCCGUGCCAGCAGCCGCGGUAAUACGGAGGGAGCUAGCGUUGUUCGGAAUUACUGGGCGUAAAGCGCACGUAGGCGGUUACUCAAGUCAGAGGUGAAAGCCCGGGGCUCAACCCCGGAACUGCCUUUGAAACUAGGUAACUAGAAUCUUGGAGAGGUCAGUGGAAUUCCGAGUGUAGAGGUGAAAUUCGUAGAUAUUCGGAAGAACACCAGUGGCGAAGGCGACUGACUGGACAAGUAUUGACGCUGAGGUGCGAAAGCGUGGGGAGCAAACAGGAUUAGAAACCCCGGUAGUCC
Molecule: ribosomal RNA, 425 nt
Filed under: uncultured bacterium
Lineage: Bacteria
Description: partial 16S ribosomal RNA
Rfam family: Bacterial small subunit ribosomal RNA
Source: RNAcentral